GUGGGGAAUAUUCCGCAAUGGGCGCAAGCCUGACGGAGCAACGCCGCGUGAAUGAAGACGGUCUUCGGAUUGUAAAGUUCUGUCAUUAGGGACGAAGGACUCAUGUAAAUAAUAUGAGGAAUGACGGUACCUAAGGAGGAAGCUCCGGCUAACUACGUGCCAGCAGCCGCGGUAAUACGUAGGGAGCAAGCGUUGUCCGGAAUUACUGGGCGGAAAGGGCGCGUAGGCGGAUAAUUAAGUCAGAUGUGAAAUCUCCAGGCUUAACUUGGAGCGUGGAUUUGAAACUGGUUAUCUUUAGGGCAGGAGAGGAAAGUGGAAUUCCUAGUGUAGCGGUGAAAUGCGUAGAUAUUAGGAGGAACACCAGUGGCGAAGGCGACUUUCUGGACUGAACCUGACGCUGAGGCGCGAAAGCAUGGGGAGCGAACGGGAUUAGAAACCCGGGUAGUCC
Molecule: ribosomal RNA, 448 nt
Filed under: uncultured bacterium
Lineage: Bacteria
Description: partial 16S ribosomal RNA
Rfam family: Bacterial small subunit ribosomal RNA
Source: RNAcentral